CUCUAGGCUUGGGGUGUCUCAAUCUAUCAUUGAAUAAUUUCAUUGGAUGGAUCCUGAGCAGAAUCCAGAAUCUCCAACAGCUGAAGUUUCUGGAUUUGCAUUCAAAUGGGAUUGCAGGUGAUGUCAGGAUUCUGUUGUCUGAGCUUUAGAAUACAAAAUAUGUCGAUAUCAGUGGAAAUCACUUCAAAGGAAGGCUUUCAUUGGAUCCAUAGAAUGUUUCCAACUUAGUAAAUACUUUUCGGUAUUUGAAUUUGAGGCACAAUGGGCUGGAUGGGGAGUCUUUUAAGGAUUGUUCGAUGCAGAUAUUUUAGAACUUGGAAAUAUUGGAUGUGAGUCAAAAUCAAAUUAGAGGGAAGCUUCCUUUGUUUCAUCCAUUGCUAUACCUCCGGGUUUUGUGGGUUGGUAACAAUCUGCUUCAUGGAUCUAUACCACCUGAGCUCUUUGGGAGUUCCAUGCAGCUGGAAGAACUGGAUCUCAGCAGCAAUGGAUUUUCAGGUUGAGACGGUCCUUCGAGAGCAUCCUAAUCCGUCUCAAGUGGAGAAGGUUAAACUAAUCCUUGGGGAUCAUGAAAAAGAACUUAGCGAAGCACUUGAGAAGGUCGUUGGUGUAUUAGACAAUGGAAUCGCAUUGAUUUGCAAGGUGAUUAUAGCUGAAAUAGUCGUUACGUGGGUCUGUUGGACACUUUGGUGUGAUGUUUUUUUUGUUGAUAGAUGCUAGCUCCUUUUUGUAUUACAACCCUGCUUGAUAGGUUGUGUUAAGGAUGAUUGGGUUUCUGUGCCUCUAUUAUGUGGGUAAGAGCAAUUGGAGUCUUAUGGAAUGGAUUAGCUGUACCUCUGUUAUGUGUUACUGAUGGUCGCUAUCUUGGAGCGACAUUGGACCGGAAUGGAUUGCACCCCAGUCGCAUUUACAUCACACAUAGUGGACACGUGAUCAUGGCCAGUGAGGUUGGUGUUGUAGACAUUUUGCCAGAAGAUGUGGCUAGGAAAGGAAGACAUUGGAUCUGUCUAAAGGGGACCUUACUGAAAUAGUUCAUGUGGAAGGCUAGGAAAGGAAGACAUUUGUAGUUUGUUUUGAAAACCUUAAAUAGACCAUUAAUUGUUUUGUUGAUAUUGUGCUGAUUGUUGUCUUGAUGAAUGUUAAAUGGGUGAAAUAUGCACAGGUUCAAUCAUUUGUUGAUUA
Molecule: RNA transcript, 1179 nt
Organism: Magnolia sinica
Lineage: Eukaryota; Viridiplantae; Streptophyta; Magnoliopsida; Magnoliales; Magnoliaceae
Exons: 6
Source: RefSeq, a predicted model, not a curated record